This 1508-nucleotide ribosomal RNA is filed under the name uncultured bacterium. RNAcentral describes it as "16S ribosomal RNA". It matches the Rfam family "Bacterial small subunit ribosomal RNA". The record is from RNAcentral.
UAGAGUUUGAUCAUGGCUCAGAUUGAACGCUGGCGGCAGGCCUAACACAUGCAAGUCGAACGGUAACAGGAAGCAGCUUGCUGCUUUGCUGACGAGUGGCGGACGGGUGAGUAAUGUCUGGGAAACUGCCCGGUGGAGGGGGAUAACUACUGGAAACGGUAGCUAAUACCGCAUAACGUCGCAAGACCAAAGAGGGGGACCUUCGGGCCUCUUGCCACCGGAUGUGCCCAGAUGGGAUUAGCUUGUUGGUGAGGUAACGGCUCACCAAGGCGACGAUCCCUAGCUGGUCUGAGAGGAUGACCAGCCACACUGGAACUGAGACACGGUCCAGACUCCUACGGGAGGCAGCAGUGGGGAAUAUUGCACAAUGGGCGCAAGCCUGAUGCAGCCAUGCCGCGUGUAUGAAGAAGGCCUUCGGGUUGUAAAGUACUUUUCAGCGGGGAGGAAGGGAUUGUGGUUAAUAACCGCAGUCAUUGACGUUACCCGCAGAAGAAGCACCGGCUAACUCCGUGCCAGCAGCCGCGGUAAUACGGAGGGUGCAAGCGUUAAUCGGAAUUACUGGGCGUAAAGCGCACGCAGGCGGUCUGUCAAGUCGGAUGUGAAAUCCCCGGGCUCAACCUGGGAACUGCAUUCGAAACUGGCAGGCUUGAGUCUCGUAGAGGGGGGUGGAAUUCCAGGUGUAGCGGUGAAAUGCGUAGAGAUCUGGAGGAAUACCGGUGGCGAAGGCGGCCCCCUGGACGAAGACUGACGCUCAGGUGCGAAAGCGUGGGGAGCAAACAGGAUUAGAUACCCUGGUAGUCCACGCCGUAAACGAUGUCUACUUGGAGGUUGUGCCCCUGAGGCGUGGCUUCCGGAGCUAACGCGUUAAGUAGACCGCCUGGGGAGUACGGCCGCAAGGUUAAAACUCAAAUGAAUUGACGGGGGCCCGCACAAGCGGUGGAGCAUGUGGUUUAAUUCGAUGCAACGCGAAGAACCUUACCUGGUCUUGACAUCCACGGAAGACUGCAGAGAUGCGGUUGUGCCUUCGGGAACUCUGAGACAGGUGCUGCAUGGCUGUCGUCAGCUCGUGUUGUGAAAUGUUGGGUUAAGUCCCGCAACGAGCGCAACCCUUAUCCUUUGUUGCCAGCGGUCCGGCCGGGAACUCAAAGGAGACUGCCAGUGAUAAACUGGAGGAAGGUGGGGAUGACGUCAAGUCAUCAUGGCCCUUACGACCAGGGCUACACACGUGCUACAAUGGCAUAUACAAAGAGAAGCGACCUCGCGAGAGCAAGCGGACCUCAUAAAGUAUGUCGUAGUCCGGAUUGGAGUCUGCAACUCGACUCCAUGAAGUCGGAAUCGCUAGUAAUCGUGGAUCAGAAUGCCACGGUGAAUACGUUCCCGGGCCUUGUACACACCGCCCGUCACACCAUGGGAGUGGGUUGCAAAAGAAGUAGGUAGCUUAACCUUCGGGAGGGCGCUUACCACUUUGUGAUUCAUGACUGGGGUGAAGUCGUAACAAGGUAACCGUA